RNAcentral lists this unclassified non-coding RNA (248 nucleotides) under Hevea brasiliensis (rubber tree). The record is from RNAcentral. Lineage: Eukaryota; Viridiplantae; Streptophyta; Magnoliopsida; Malpighiales; Euphorbiaceae.
GUAAGAAAUCCAUUUCGGUGUUGGUCAGGCAGCUCCAAACUGAACAUGUCUUCUGUGAUUGCAGAAGGAAGAAAAGAUGAACCUUGGGAACAUGCAGUGACUUCUGCACCAGCUGGUUCAAUCUCACAACUUAUCAAGGCAUCUCCUAAUACAUCCUUCAAAUGGUGAAUUGUUUCCUCUUGCCGAUUUUUCAUGUGAAGGAGUUCCCUAGUAUCUGUGAUGAAAAAGAGGUCCAUCACUCUCCCGUC